This 251-nucleotide unclassified non-coding RNA is filed under the name Lactuca sativa (garden lettuce). The record is from RNAcentral. Lineage: Eukaryota; Viridiplantae; Streptophyta; Magnoliopsida; Asterales; Asteraceae.
UCGAACCCUGCAAGGCAGAACGACCCGUGAACAUGUAACCACAACGGGGUGACCGUGAUAAGGGCCUCGGUCCUUAGCCCCUAACACUUCCCGACGUGAGUUCGUGGUGUCUUUUUUGGGGCAUCAUGGAUUCCGUUGGACCAUAACAAAACCCCGGCACGCUAUGUGCCAAGGAAAACAAAAAUGAGAAGGACACUACCAGUUUCGCCCCGUUUGCGGUGUGCGUACAGGUCGUGGCCUCCUUGGAAUCA